GCCUUAGCAAAGGGACUGCUUUGCCAGGCUACCGUCACAUAGCACUCCUGUCUCCCGUUUGACUUCAUAUAGUGAAAAUUGUCUAAAAGAUAAGGCAGGAGCUCUGGUUGACACCCCCCCUGCCCCCGCCUCAUAGAUCUCUCUCUAGAAGCAUUGGAAGAGGCCGUCUCAAAAAAGAAAAAUAAAAUAGAAGCAUUGGAGGAAAGAUGUGGUUUGUAGUGAAACAAAUUGGAAGUCAAGCUCAGCCUCAACCACUUACUUGCUUCUGACCUUGGCAUGAAGUUGCAGAAGCUGACCUGGGUCCUAACUGUAAAAUGCAGAGGAACUCUAUCCAUGAGGAAGCUUUGUGAAGUCGAUUCAUUGCUAAUGUCCCUGUAGUGUCCACCACAGGAAACAUUACUAUUUGGGUUUUGUGACCCAGGAAUCCAUAUUUACCUGGCGGCAACGACACAGCCCUCACCUUUCCAGACCUCAUCUGGUGGCCUUGUAAUCCUGGAGCUGAAGCUGCCUACACACAAGCAAUCGGUCGCAGUGUAUCCGUGCAGGGUCCCAACCCACUCCAGGAUUCAUUUCGGGAUGGCUUCCCCUCCCUCAGCCAGGUCUCCGGCCCCGUUGCUCUGCAUGCUUGCCCAUCUCCAUCUCCACGGCGAUCAUGUGUUUGCAGGGAGCCAUCAAUAUCCUCUUCUCUUACGCUUUCUGAAUGGGAGAGUCAAUCUCAAUGGGAAGCUAGCAGGGACUUGGGUGGACAGGUGUCUCACGCUGGAUGGGCGAAUCCAGGUGGGAGGGAGGGUGGGCUUGCUGUCAUUUGUUGGUGGGUCAUGGGAUUUGCUAUGAAGCUGGAGGGAAAAUCUGGACCCCUGAAGAGGGGUCCCUUCCCUUCCUAAGGGAAGGCCUCAGCUCCAAGACUGCAGGAGGAGCUGGGUAGCCAUUGGAUAUGGCUAACGCACAUGAAUCAUGACCAGGGUGCACUGUUUGGACAGCAAGUCAGUGGCCCAAGGAGAGAGAGGUUAGUGAUGGGAAGCGUCCUGAGACUCACUGAUGCAUCUUUACAUUUUUCUCUUUAAGCAUUAGGAAGAGGCCGGGUGCCGUGGCUCACACCUGUAGUGCCAGCGCUUUGGAAGGCUAAGAUGGGCAGACUGCUUGAACUCAGGAGUUUGAGACCAGCCUGGGCAAUGUGUCAAGACCCCAUCUCUACAAGAAA
Long non-coding RNA from Homo sapiens (human), 1201 nucleotides. Ensembl annotates it as long intergenic non-protein coding RNA 3107. Lineage: Eukaryota; Metazoa; Chordata; Mammalia; Primates; Hominidae. The record is from Ensembl.